UCCAGAACAAAGGGGUAUGCAAUCAAACUAAUCCUAGCCGUCUGCAUCCAAUCGCACGGCUAGGCGCCUUUCUUCUACCCUGCAGCCGAGGUCGACCAGAGCACUCGCGCCCUCGCCGGAAAGCACGCCGGCGCGCGACUAGCCGACGAUCUGGCGCCCGUCUAGCCGAGCGGUUUGGUUCUACGCGAAGCAUGGGAGAUGGCGAACUUUUUGGUGGUUUACAUACCUUGAAUCGAGACGGCAGGGGCCCCAAUCAUGCACCGCAGCGGCACCAGACGCGCCAAGGAGAUCUCUCCGACCGCGGAUGGAGUUGAGAGACGGAUGCCAGCGACUCCUACACGGUGGCCUCCCUACCAACACUUCUCUGCUGGCGGCGGGGUAGGUUUAGGCUGUUAAUGGAGGCGGAUUCGAGCUUGGGGCGAGAUCUCCAGGUUUUCUGUGCGUGAUGUAGAAAGGCCAGAGAACGGGCGGCGGUGAACCUAGGGAAGCUGUGGAGCGGAGAGAGGCAAGGGAUCGUGGCCACUGAUAUAGGUGUGGGCUGAGCCGCAGCCGCAACGGCUUACCCGGAAUCGACGGCGAGCUUCUGCCAUCGUCGGGCGAAGUUGUUGGAGUGACCCCCUGACGGCC
This 627-nucleotide long non-coding RNA is filed under the name Zea mays. RNAcentral's name for it is "long non-coding RNA NONZMAT000250". Lineage: Eukaryota; Viridiplantae; Streptophyta; Magnoliopsida; Poales; Poaceae. The record is from RNAcentral.